GACGAACGCUGGCGGCGUGCUUAACACAUGCAAGUCGAACGAAGUGGCGAACGGGUGAGUAACGCGUAAUCAACCUGCCCUUCAGAGGGGGACAACAGUUGGAAACGACUGCAAAUACCGCAUACUGAAGGAGGGGAUUGCGUCUGAUUAGCUAGUUGGAGGGGUAACGGCCCACCAAGGCGAUGAUCAGUAGCCGGUCUGAGAGGAUGAACGGCCACAUUGGGACGGAGACACGGCCCAGACUCCUACGGGAGGCAGCAGUGGGGAAUCUUCCGCAAUGGACGACAGUCUGACGGAGCAACGCCGCGUGAGGGAUGACGGCCUUCGGGUUGUAAAGCUCUGUUAAUCGGGACGCGGUACCUGAAUAGAAAGCCACGGCUAACUACGUGCCAGCAGCCGCGGUAAUUC
This 408-nucleotide ribosomal RNA is filed under the name uncultured bacterium. RNAcentral describes it as "partial 16S ribosomal RNA". It matches the Rfam family "Bacterial small subunit ribosomal RNA", at positions 28 to 526 of the family's 1533-position model. The record is from RNAcentral.